AGUAAUGCAUAGAAAUUUGCCUCGAAGUGGGGGAUAGCCCGGAGAAAUCCGGAUUAAUACCGCAUGCGCUCUACGGAGCAAAGUGGGCCUCUGAUUUAAGCUCACGCUUUGAGAUAAGUCUAUGUCGGAUUAGCUAGUUGGUAGGGUAAGAGCCUACCAAGGCGACGAUCCGUAGCUGGUUUGAGAGGAUGAUCAGCCACACUGGGACUGAGACACGGCCCAG
Molecule: ribosomal RNA, 223 nt
Filed under: uncultured bacterium
Lineage: Bacteria
Description: partial 16S ribosomal RNA
Rfam family: Bacterial small subunit ribosomal RNA
Source: RNAcentral